GAGCUCACAGCCACCAUCAGAAAGUGUAGCGAAAAGAAUCACCAUCUGUGACUCAGGCACGCCAAUCCCUGGGCCUCUUCCUGCACUGGGGACCCACCU
This 99-nucleotide small RNA is filed under the name Pongo abelii (Sumatran orangutan). RNAcentral describes it as "processed transcript". Lineage: Eukaryota; Metazoa; Chordata; Mammalia; Primates; Hominidae. The record is from RNAcentral.